Molecule: long non-coding RNA, 632 nt
Organism: Homo sapiens (human)
Lineage: Eukaryota; Metazoa; Chordata; Mammalia; Primates; Hominidae
Gene: LATS2-AS1
Product: LATS2 antisense RNA 1
Source: Ensembl
CCCAACACUAAGUUAGAGAGAAACCCACUUUAAAAGAAUGAGCUGAAGAUGGUCAGGGCUGGGGCUGGGGUAGAACUCAAAAGGAGGCUCGAAAAACUGUCUGGUGAACAGAAAAGAUUGCACACAGAGAAAUCAGAGAAAGAAAAUCACUUGACCUUGACAGGGUGUAGCGUAAGCCAGAGGGAUGCUGGGACCCAGAGCCGGCCUCUGGCACUCCUACUGGGCAGGGCUCAUGCUGGCCAGGGCUACACUGACCCAGGCAGAAGUGGGGCUUUCUCUGCCUUCCAAGGUAGGUUCAGGUCCAGGGUCAAAAAAGGGCUUGCCAAGUUCCUCUGCAAGCUUCAUUCUGAACUUCCAGUGUUUUUCUGACAGGAAGAGUAAUAAGAUAUGGGUAAGACAAAGCCCUGUCUGCUGGAGCUCUAGCAGCAGAAUUAAGAAAAGAAUUAGUUGGGGUUUUAAUUCGCACUCUUGCUGGGAACACUACCUUAGGAGGAAAAAGGUCUUCAUAAAGGAAAGGAAAACCUGUAAUCCCAGUGCUUUGGGAGGCCAAUUUAGUUUCAUUCUUCUGAAUCAAUGUCACUCAGCUUCAGUAACACGUAGGAUCACUGGCUAGUUUUGAUCUGAGACUUUUA